GGACUACCCGGGUAUCUAAUCCCGUUUGCUCCCCUGGCUUUCGCGUCUCAGCGUCAGAAAACGUCCAGGACCUCGCUUUCGCCACGGGCGUUCCUUCCGAUCUCAACGCAUUUCACCGCUCCACCGGAAGUUCCAGGUCCCCCUACGUUCCUCCAGAAAGGCCGUAUCGGCGCCCGUUCCCCGGUUGAGCCGGGGGAUUUCAACGACCGACGUACCCUUCCGCCUACACGCGCUUUAAGCCCAGUGAUUCCGAAUAACGUUCGCACGGUUCGUCUUACCGCGGCUGCUGCAC
This 292-nucleotide ribosomal RNA is filed under the name uncultured Planctomycetota bacterium. RNAcentral describes it as "uncultured planctomycete partial 16S ribosomal RNA". Lineage: Bacteria; Pseudomonadati; Planctomycetota. The record is from RNAcentral.